GACGAACGCUGGCGGCGUGCUUAACACAUGCAAGUCGAGCGGAAAGGCCCUUCGGGGUACUCGAGCGGCGAACGGGUGAGUAACACGUGAGUAACCUGCCCUUCACUUUGGGAUAACCCUCGGAAACGGGGGCUAAUACCGGAUAUGACAUGGGAUCGCAUGGUCUUGUGUGGAAAGUUUUUCGGUGGGGGAGUGGGCUCGCGGCCUAUCAGCUUGUUGGUGGGGUGAUGGCCUACCAAGGCGACGACGGGUAGCCGGCCUGAGAGGGCGACCGGCCACACUGGGACUGAGACACGGCCCAGACUCCUACGGGAGGCAGCAGUGGGGAAUAUUGCACAAUGGGCGGAAGCCUGAUGCAGCGACGCCGCGUGA
This 372-nucleotide ribosomal RNA is filed under the name uncultured bacterium. RNAcentral's name for it is "bacterial SSU rRNA". It matches the Rfam family "Bacterial small subunit ribosomal RNA", at positions 28 to 404 of the family's 1533-position model. The record is from RNAcentral.